RNAcentral lists this ribosomal RNA (253 nucleotides) under uncultured bacterium. RNAcentral's name for it is "partial 16S ribosomal RNA". It matches the Rfam family "Bacterial small subunit ribosomal RNA", at positions 524 to 776 of the family's 1533-position model. The record is from RNAcentral.
UACGGAGGGUGCGAGCGUUGUCCGGAAUCACUGGGCGUAAAGGGCGCGUAGGCGGCGCGGGCAGUCAACGGUGAAAGCUCGGAGCUCAACUCCGAGUCGGCCGUCGAUACUCCCGUGCUUGAGCACUGUAGAGGCAGGUGGAAUUCCGGGUGUAGCGGUGGAAUGCGUAGAGAUCCGGAAGCACACCGGUGGCGAAGGCGGCCUGCUGGGCAGUAGCUGACGCUGAGGCGCGACAGCGUGGGGAGCAAACAGG